This 471-nucleotide ribosomal RNA is filed under the name [Eubacterium] yurii. Its description in RNAcentral is "bacterial SSU rRNA". It matches the Rfam family "Bacterial small subunit ribosomal RNA", at positions 28 to 499 of the family's 1533-position model. The record is from RNAcentral. Lineage: Bacteria; Bacillati; Bacillota; Clostridia; Peptostreptococcales; Filifactoraceae.
GAUGAACGCUGGCGGCGUGCCUAACACAUGCAAGUCGAACGAAGGUAUAUAUAGGAAGUCUUCGGAUGGAAUAUGUAUAACCUAGUGGCGGACGGGUGAGUAACGCGUAAGUAAUCAACCUGUGACACACGGAUAACUGAUAGAAAUGUCAGCUAAUACGAGAUGAACUGUUUAAAUUGGGAAAUGGAAACAGCAAAGCGAAAGCGGUCACAGACGAGCUUGCGUCUGAUUAGCUAGUUGGUGGGGUAAGAGCCUACCAAGGCGACGAUCAGUAGCCGGCCUGAGAGGGUGAACGGCCACAUUGGAACUGAGACACGGUCCAAACUCCUACGGGAGGCAGCAGUGGGGGAUAUUGCACAAUGGGGGGAACCCUGAUGCAGCAACGCCGCGUGAGUGAAGAAGGCCCUAGGGUCGUAAAGCUCUGUCGUAUGGGAAGAAGAAAAUGACUUACCAUACAAGAAGCCCCGCAUC